This is a long non-coding RNA of Carcharodon carcharias (great white shark), 3387 nucleotides long. RefSeq lists it as uncharacterized. The record is from RefSeq and is a predicted model, not a curated record. The transcript is spliced from 3 exons. Lineage: Eukaryota; Metazoa; Chordata; Chondrichthyes; Lamniformes; Lamnidae.
AGGAACUCAACGAUUAAUUUAUUACACUUCCCUCCAGGUUUACAAUAAAUGUUACUAUGUUGAAAAAUGGGAACACGGGAAGUGUGGUUGGGAUCUAAUUCGUUCCUGACUCAUUUGUUUCUCGUUUAUUUGAUACGGAAGCAACCCUCUCCCCUUUUUUUGUAACUGUAACAGUUUACCAUUAAACGGAACCAACAUAUUAAGAUGCUGCCUUGACCCGAGUGUUUCCAAAAAUAGAAUCGUAUGUCUUGACUUAAUCGCCCAAGGCUCCGGCAUAUUGAUCUCCAAUUAUUACUUUGUAGAACAACCUACUCACUUGAAAAAGAGUGUAGAAGGCGCAUUUCCAAUCUGAAGCACCCCAAUCGGAGUUUCCAGUCUCAGUUCCAUCUCUGUGGGGAAGUGUAGAGGGAGGGCAAAUUGGGAAAGUUAUUUUCGUACGACAGAACGCUGAAGUUUUCUGCAUGUGGAGGAAACUUGCUCCCACGACUCCCCUUUAACAAUAAAUAAUUGUUUUUAUUGACAUCCCCCGGCCCUCGAUCCGCAAUGCUCCUUCCACUGGGACAACCGCUGAGACGGAAGUUUCGGGUUCCGCAGCACAAAUAGGAACAUGGAAGGGAUUCAAGAUGCUGGAAUUUCUCCGUCUUGUUACUUGCUUAUUGACCCUUAGGAAAGGUACAACGCUUCCAACGGAGAUCUCACAGAUGGUGCAAGUAACUAGCUGCAAAUAAGCGGCAAGUCCAGAAAUGGCCAGCCAAAAAGAGGCUACCAGACCUGUUAAGUGUGUCCAGCAUCGGCAGUAUUUUCCUUUUGUGUUUGCUUCUGCAGUUAGUCGCAGUCACAGAACAGAGGCUGAAGUGCUACUGGGAGUUGAGCAAAUACAACAGGGCACUUCUGCGCAAUACCGAGUUGAACAGAAGGAGGUGCUGUCUUCUGAGACGCCAAUUCGCGGUCCAGUCUGGUUGAUCCUGUUCCGUGUGUAGAGUUCGCCCACUGGCUGUUUAUCUUUGUUGCUCUUUUAAGGAAUGUACCGCGCCCAAGUUCGCUGUUGUAUUUGUCUAUAAUGUAAAAGCAACUUGUGUGUUUGGGGAUAGCCUGAGGUCCUGGAGUGACAAAAUAAAUAACUACUUCAAGAAUUUAACCUACUGCGUUGAAACAACAAUAAUUCCAUCCAGUCAUUGACUAAAUGGCUCAGUGGGUACCACGGGCAAGCUGAAAUCACCAAUGUGUUUAAGGGUUCAGUUGGCGACGUUUUCAAAUAGACUUGGCGCACACAAUUGAAACCUCAAUCGACAUUUGAAUUCUGCGAUCAUAAAUUAGAUGAAGUUAGAUUUCUCCAUUAUGCCAUGAUAUUCAGUAAACCGUGAGGGUAAAGUAGCAGACUUCAGAAGCAUAGGUUGUCGAAAUGGGCAAUUGAUAGGCUAAAUGGAUAAUUGACAGGUGAAAUUUAAUGCAGAGAAGUGUAAAGUGGUGCCUUUUAGGGAAAGAACGAAGAGAGGCAACAUAAGAUGGUACAAUUUUAAAGGAGGUGUAGAAACAGAAAGCUGGGGGUUUCAUUUUUUUGAACAUGGCAGGACAAGUUAAUACAACAGCUAACAAGGCAUAUGGGAUCCUUGCACUCUAACACUGGAGACAAUUAUUAGUGGCAGAACCACCACAGGGUAGAUGGAAAGCUUUUUAAAACUCAUUUUAUGAUCUGGGAGGGUGGUGGAAAGCAAAGUCAAUAAUAACUUUCAAAAGGGAACUGGAUCUUUACUUGGAAAAUAAAUUUUUGCAGGGCUACUGGGAAAGAGAAGGUGGGGGUUGGAACUAAUCAAUUAGUUCUUUCAAAGAGCUGGCACAAGCCUCUUUGCUGCAAGAGUUCAUGAUGGUUCAAGGGUGAUCUCACCUAGGUCUUUAAACUGAGAAAGAUGUUCAUUAGGGUAGAUACAAAGAAACUAUUUGGUGGUAACUCUAGUGUUGGAAUCCAGAAAAAGAGGCCAUUUGAGUAAAAUCAAGAAGCAAUGUUUCCCAAAAAAGGUGGUAGAAAUCUGUAACUUGCUCUCCCAAAGACUAUGGAUGCCACAUUAAUCCAAAGAUUCAAGACCAAGGGCAACAGAUCUUUGCUACAUGUGGAUAUUGAAAGAUGUGGAGCAAUGGCAGAUAAAUGGAAUGGAGGUACAAAUCUGAUUCAAUGGCAGAAAAGUCUUGAGGGGAUGAAUGAUCUGUAUCUGUUCCUAUUAUAAAAUAUACUUCCACAGAAAAACAUUUAGUACACUUUUACAAAUUAAUGGUUUAAAGAUUCAAUGCCAUUGCAAAAUUUGGGAGGGUGUGAAGAGGGGGAUAGGUACAUUGUAACUAUACAUGGUUCAACCCAAUGCAGACCAAUCACCUGAUCUAGGCCAGCUGUGACAUGCAUCACUAAAUUUAAUUAUACAUUCAUGCAUCAUUCAUUAUACAUUAAUUGCAAUGGAUCAGAAUUACCAAGGUUCUAAUUAUAGUAGUACAGGGCAGACUUCUAGGUGAAAAAGAAAUUAAAAUGAUCAAUGUAUUAAGCUGCCUCUACUACAUACUUACUAUCAAGGUGCAAGCUAAGGUUUGAAACUGACAUAUAUUCGUGAAGUUAAAAAAAGUAACUUAAAUGGCUAGAUUUCCAAUACUUUUAUCUGUAUUCAUCUACCUGCCACAAUAAGGUCAUCCAAGAUCAGGUUUAGUGUCAGGCUGCUAUUCAUCGUCCAGUACUAGGCCUGAGGACAGGCUCCAGAUCAAACUUGGCCAAAAGCAAAAAUCUUUUAAAUUAUUAAUAGAGGCUGGAACAGAAUAAAGAAUACAGGAAAGCCAAUUCUCUCCUCUCUACUCAGGAAUACAUUGGUCAAUUGCAACACCCCUACCAUCCCAGAGGAUAGCAUGGCUAAAUUAGCAAAGGCCUAGGAUGAAACCCAAGAAUCUUUCUGGUCUAUUUAGUUCAGCUAAUCACCAAAUAAAUUUAAAGAACCAUUGGAGAAAUUCCUUAAUUGGAGUUUUUGAUCACAAACAAAUUGAUCAUUAAUAUUUUACCUUUCCAUGUUACAAAUUGAUCAAAAGAGCUGGUACAAAAUCGAGACAAUUCUUUUUGGGUGCUGCACUCACUAUCAUUUGGUACAAACGAAUGCCAGGCUCUUUGCUAAACUUCAUUGCCCCUUUAAAACAGAUUUACAAUUAAAGUAAUUUUGUUACGUUUGUUUCAAUAGUGGGUGACUUGAGAAUUGGCUUGGCGGAAUUAGUGAAUUCAACCUAGGCUGGGGAUGGGAAUUGAAUUACUUUAAUUAGUAUCCAUGGUUAAUUAGGAUCAACAAAUGUUAAUUUGGCUAACCUCAGUGUCAAGCUCUGUAACUUAAAGGCAGUUUUCUAAUAAAAAACAAAAUUGCAAAA